Non-coding RNA from Heligmosomoides polygyrus, 71 nucleotides. The record is from Rfam. NCBI's taxonomy places the organism in Eukaryota, Metazoa, Nematoda, Chromadorea, Rhabditida, Heligmosomidae.
GCGCCGGUGGUGUAAGGCGAACAUCGCUGCCCGGAAAGCCGAAGAUGCGGGUUCGAGUCCCGCCUGGCGCA